This 465-nucleotide ribosomal RNA is filed under the name Vreelandella stevensii. Its description in RNAcentral is "partial 16S ribosomal RNA". It matches the Rfam family "Bacterial small subunit ribosomal RNA", at positions 338 to 795 of the family's 1533-position model. Lineage: Bacteria; Pseudomonadati; Pseudomonadota; Gammaproteobacteria; Oceanospirillales; Halomonadaceae. The record is from RNAcentral.
CCUACGGGCGGCUGCAGUGGGGAAUAUUGGACAAUGGGCGAAAGCCUGAUCCAGCCAUGCCGCGUGUGUGAAGAAGGCCUUCGGGUUGUAAAGCACUUUCAGUGGGGAAGAAAGCCUUGGGGCUAAUACCCUCGAGGAAGGACAUCACCCACAGAAGAAGCACCGGCUAACUCCGUGCCAGCAGCCGCGGUAAUACGGAGGGUGCGAGCGUUAAUCGGAAUUACUGGGCGUAAAGCGCGCGUAGGCGGUCUGAUAAGCCGGUUGUGAAAGCCCCGGGCUCAACCUGGGAACGGCAUCCGGAACUGUCAGGCUAGAGUGCAGGAGAGGAAGGUAGAAUUCCCGGUGUAGCGGUGAAAUGCGUAGAGAUCGGGAGGAAUACCAGUGGCGAAGGCGGCCUUCUGGACUGACACUGACGCUGAGGUGCGAAAGCGUGGGUAGCAAACAGGACUAGAUACCCUAGUAGUC